Ictalurus punctatus (channel catfish) is the source of this 2388-nucleotide long non-coding RNA. The record is from Ensembl. Lineage: Eukaryota; Metazoa; Chordata; Actinopteri; Siluriformes; Ictaluridae.
GCUGUUUUGUUUUGUGUUUAUUUUUUUUUUAAAUCAGUUCUCAAAAAUUGUAAAAAAUAAAAAAAUUCAAAAUAUUAAAAAAAAAAAAAAAUGUAAAAUACUUUCAUUCUAGUGUACACUUGCACACUUUUACACCAGCAGGCAUGCAUACUAACGUAACUAUCUUCUUGCAAACUUAAUCGCAUAAUUACAACACUUACACAUAAGCACUACUUUAUUUGUACACUUGUAUACUAACAAAAGUACUUACACUUUAGUUCACUUGCGUACUUGCACACUUACAUACAUAUCAGACUUGCAUACUAACAUACCUGGAUACUUGCAUAUUAGCAUUUUAUUAGUAUAAUUACCAUAUUUAGUAAGCAUACUUGCAUACUAAUGUGUAUAUUGAUGUAGCACACAUGCACACUAUUAUUGAAUACUUCCACAGUUUCUAACAUUCAAGCACAUGCAUACUAACAAACAUAUUUACCAACACACUUACAUACUAGCAUAGCUGUAUGCACAUUCCACACUUGCAUAUUAGCACACUUCCAUACUAACAUACUUACCAUACUAGUAUAUUACUAGGAUUACACACUAGCGUUCAUGUGCUAGUGAUGCUGAAUAAUUUGACAGACAGAAGACAUUGAGCGCCACACACACACACACACACACACACACACACACACACGGGUUGUGUGAAAGGCAGUGGCGAUGUGGGCGGGCUCAAACCCUUCAUUAAGCUGUGAUUGGAUGCUGUUGAUCCUAGGACUGGUGAGACAGAUGAAGCGUCAUGGCAGUGAGGAGAUUAGAUAAGUAAAGUCCACUCGGGUUUAUUUCAAUUUAGUCUGAUCGCUAGAGCGUUACAGAGGUCCCUAAUGAUGAAGGGGGAGGGAUGGGCAUGGGCUAGGGGAGGGGGAGGGGGAGAGAGAGAGAGAGAGAGAGAGAGAUAUUCAUCCUUCACACCUUCAGAAUAGAUAAUGGUGCAGAGAAAACAAGUCCACAAUAGAACAUUUACGAGAGGGCUACGAGGCUAAUCUUACUAACAAAAUAAGGGAAGCUUAGAACUACCAGUUUAGCAUCGUAAACUGUAUCCAAGUCAUCACACAGCUCAAAACGUGUCUGGUUGCACAAAAGAAUCGAAAGGUUGUAUUCUAGCAUACUUGCAUACUACUAUACAUUCAUAAAUCCAAGCUAAUAUACUCAGUAAUAUACACCAUUGUACUUAAUUAGUGCAUACUAGUAUACUCACAAGCUAGCUUCCAUACUUGCAUACUUACACAACUGCUUAAUAAUGCACGUGUAUACUAGUACACUUGCAUGCUAAAAUUUUAGCACACUUACAUACUAACAUCCGUACACACUUUCACGCUUGCACUCUAACACACAUGCAUACUUGCGUGCAUAGUAUCACACUUUCAUACUAACACACGUGCAUACCAGCGUACUGCACCUUAGCACACAAGCAUGCGUGCAUACUAGCAGACUUACACACUAACAUACAUACUUGCCCACCUGUACACAUGCAUACUAGAAUGCUAGCAGACUUACAUACUUAGCACACCUGCACACUAGCAUAUAAGCACUUCCAUAUUUGCUUAUUAGCACACGUACAUACUAGCGGACUUGUAUACUAAUCCAUAUGCUUAAUAGCACACAUACAUAUUAGUGUAAUACUACCACAGGCUAGCACAGCAGCUGUAUAAUUCCGUACUUACAUAUUAGCACAUUUCUUUCAUAAUAGCAAUGCUAGUAUAUAUUUACACACUAGCAUACAUGCAUCCUAGAUGACUCGCAUACUUACCAGCACCCUUGCAUAUUAGCACACUGUACAUACACACUAAUAUUUCAAUACUAAUAUAUUUACACAGCAGCACAUAUAUGUACUUGGAUACUAAUUUGCAUGCAUACUAGCGCACUUGCCUACUAGCCUAUUAGCACUUGCGCAUUAGCAUAUUUUCACGCUAGCAUACUUGCACUCCAACAUACAAGUAUAUUGUAUACUAGCACUCUUACGCAUUUUUUAAAAAAAUAUUUUUUACAUAAACAAGUAAAAUGUUUAACAGGAAGAUGUAAGAGUAGCAUAAAUAAAUUCAAAUAAACAACUUAAUGCAAAUAUUUCAGAAUCGCUACAGUUGUUUGUGCAGUAAGAAUAAACAGUAUAACAUAUGUGCAUAUUUCACAGCAUGUACAGGAACUCGAGCCCUGAUUAUAUUAAACAUUAAGAGUAAGUGCACUUGACUGUAAAUAAUAGCAGUUGCUGUGUGCAUGUGUGUGUAUGUGUGUGUAGGGGUGUAUACAGCAGUAGCAGUAUAAUAUUAGUGCUAAAAGGUUUUGUAGAGUGUGUUACAGAGCAAGGUUACAGAUAAGGAGGGAAAAUAAACUAAACACACACACACACACACA